AAUUUAAAAUUAUAAUGGACUGUCCAUGCAGUUACACCGUUGUAAAGUUUGAAUUCAAAGGAAUUGAGGUCAGUUAAAGCUUGCAAACACAAAGGAAAUUAUUGAUAUUGUAGCAAUUCUGGAGAUAUUUUGUUUAAAAUGUAAGGGUGCAUAUUUUUGAUUUUCUCAAAGAAAACAUUUAAAGUCUUAUUAGUGUGGUGAAUAGAAAUGAGAAGUUUUAACUGAAGUGUGAAUGUGUAGACAAGAAGAUAAACAGCAGAAUCAUUCCCAGUCAAAGUUUCAGGUAAACAACUUUUACAUACAAUAAUUAUUGUUAUUUAUGCAGAAACUGUUUAGUUUUUUGACAGUAAAAAUAUGAAGUGGUAUUGUAUAAAAUUGUGUUUUAUAUUUGUUUUGUUUGUAACUUGACUAAAAAGAAAGCUGCAUGUACAAUGUACAUAUAAAGAAUGUAGGAAUAUAAAGAAUGUAGGAAGAUCUUCAUCAUUUCUUAAAUACAAUAUGUUAGAAAUUUUAAGUUUGAGAAAAAAAAUUAUAGAAAUUAAUCAGUAAGUACAAUAUCAUUAUGUACAAUAUUACAUCAUUCAAACUAUAGAUAACUUGAGGUACCUAUUACUACAACUUUCAUGCUAAAAACAAUUUUCCUUGUGUGUCACAUGUGGAGCAGAUUAACAGUAAUUGAUUUAUUAGUAAGUUUUAUUCCUUCAUUGUUGUAAUUCAGCUUUCAUGGUGCAGUAGAUAAUUAUAUAACCAUAACUAGACAGUCUAGAGUAACAUGCUAUUAGGAGAAUGACAGUUCAUAACAGAAACAGCAUUAAAUAAGAAUUAUUAUUUUGCAGACACAAAGCAAUGAGGAGCAGCCUGGAGCAACACAUUUGAUCUUCAGUGGCUUUACAAAGGACCAAGUGAUGGCAGAACUGAAGCCAUAACCUCAAAAGAGAAAGGUACAGCAAAGCUCUUCAGAAUGCUAUUCAAUAUAGAAGAGAUUAGGGGCCGCUCAUUGUUUGGUAUGAGGAAAGGGAACAGAGAGUCUGACGCCAGACCUUCUUGUGCAGACAAGGCAAAACUUAAGUUCUUGGAAGAUUGUGCGCUCGAAAAGUUGCCGACAACCUAAAGGAUUGAACUCAAACCGUCCAGGAAUAGAAAGACAAACUGAAGAUAAUAAAUGGACUAAUGUUUUGCUAUUUUUUGAGACAAUAUAUAAUUUCAUAUGGAAACAUUAAAAAGGAUUAUUUUUAAAAUUUGUUUGUUUCCAAUUUAGGGUACAGGGUGACUUUCAAGCAGUUUCCAGCUAUUGCCACCCACAAGGUGGAAAAUUUCUGAAAGGGUGAAAAUAGGUGGCAUUUAGUGGAAACUGAAUUUGCCACUAUCUGGUGGCAAAAUGGUGGAAAAGUGUCUAAAUACUCCACCAAUUUUCCACCCUUAUGGUGGCAAAAGGUGGAAAUAAGUGGCAUUUGGUGGAAAAUAAGUUUGCCACUCAAUGGUGGCAUAAUGGUGGAAAUUUGUCUAAAUACUCCACCAAUUUUCCACCAUUAUGGUGGCAAUAAGUGGAAGCAAGUGGCAUCUAGUGGAAAAUGAGUUUGCCACCAUAAGGUGGCAUAAUGGUGGCAUUAUGGUGAAAGUUUGUCUAAAUACUCCACCAAUUUUCCACUCAUUGGUGGCAUUUAGUGUAAAAAAGGUGGAAUUAACUGGAAAAUUAUAUAACAUCAGUCCUGCUCAAAUUUUUCACCAUUUUCAUGAUUUGGGUGGCGUUUUGGUGGCAUUAUUGGUGGAAAAUUGUCUAAAUACUCCACCAUUGAAAAGGGUGGCAUUUUAGUGGCAAAUCUAGGGAC
Molecule: long non-coding RNA, 1829 nt
Organism: Ruditapes philippinarum (Manila clam)
Lineage: Eukaryota; Metazoa; Mollusca; Bivalvia; Venerida; Veneridae
Exons: 3
Source: RefSeq, a predicted model, not a curated record